Molecule: ribosomal RNA, 93 nt
Filed under: Beta vulgaris subsp. vulgaris (sugar beet)
Lineage: Eukaryota; Viridiplantae; Streptophyta; Magnoliopsida; Caryophyllales; Amaranthaceae
Source: RNAcentral
GGGUGCGAUAAUUCCGACACUAAUGCACCGGAUCCCAAUCGAACUCCGCAAUUAAGCGUGUUUGGACGAGAGUAGUACUAGGAUGGGUGACCU